UGCCAGCCGCCGCGGUAAUACAUAGGGGUCAAGCGUUACCCGGAAUCACUGGGCGUAAAGGGUGCGUAGGCGGUCAUAUUAGUCGGGUGUUAAAUCCUGGGGCUCAACCUCAGACUCGCAUUCGAAACGGUAUGACUAGAAGAUGUGAGAGGUGAACGGAACUCAAGGUGUAGGGGUGAAAUCCGUUGAUAUCUUGGGGAACACCAAAUGCGAAGGCAGUUCACUGGCACAUUCUUGACGCUGAGGCACGAAAGCGUGGGUAGCGAACGGGAUUAGAUA
This 279-nucleotide ribosomal RNA is filed under the name uncultured bacterium. Its description in RNAcentral is "partial 16S ribosomal RNA". It matches the Rfam family "Bacterial small subunit ribosomal RNA", at positions 506 to 784 of the family's 1533-position model. The record is from RNAcentral.